CGCUGGCGGCGUGCCUAAUACAUGCAAGUCGAGCGAACGGAUAAGGAGCUUGCUCCUUUGAAGUUAGCGGCGGACGGGUGAGUAACACGUGGGUAACCUACCUAUAAGACUGGAAUAACUUCGGGAAACCGGAGCUAAUGCCGGAUAACAUAUAGAACCGCAUGGUUCUAUAGUGAAAGAUGGUUUUGCUAUCACUUAUAGAUGGACCCGCGCCGUAUUAGCUAGUUGGUAAGGUAAUGGCUUACCAAGGCGACGAUACGUAGCCGACCUGAGAGGGUGAUCGGCCACACUGGAACUGAGACACGGUCCAGACUCCUACGGGAGGCAGCAGUAGGGAAUCCUUCCGCUGGGCGAAAGCCUGACGGAGCAACGCCGCGUGAGUGAUGAAGGUUUUCGGAUCGUAAAACUCUGUUAUUAGGGAAGAACAAAUGCGUAAGUAACUGCGCAUCUUGACUGUACUUAAU
This 464-nucleotide ribosomal RNA is filed under the name Staphylococcus succinus. RNAcentral's name for it is "bacterial SSU rRNA". It matches the Rfam family "Bacterial small subunit ribosomal RNA", at positions 34 to 483 of the family's 1533-position model. The record is from RNAcentral. Lineage: Bacteria; Bacillati; Bacillota; Bacilli; Caryophanales; Staphylococcaceae.